AGCACUUCCGGAUUUUAGACAGUCUUUUCUGGUGGAGAUAGACACAUCGGGUUUUGGGCUAGAAGCAAUACUUAUGCAGAACCAAAGGCUUGUGGCCUUUUUCAAUCAGGUGUUAACGGCUUGGGCCAAGCCCAAGUCAGUUUACGAGUGGGAGUUGAUGGCGAUUGUGUUAGUCAUUCAGAAAUGGCGACCGUAUCUCCUCGGAAGAUAUUUCAUCAUUAGGUCUUACCAGAAAAGUUUUAAGUAUUUGUUGGAACAGAGAAUGGUUAGUGAGGAGCAUCAAAGCUGGCUUUCCAAGUUAGUGGGUUAUGACUUUGAAAUUCAAUAUCGACCCGGAGAGGAGAACAAAGCAGCAGAUGGGUUAUCCAGGUGCAUGGGGGAACCCCAUAUCGCAUUGCCUGUGCCCUGGGUGGUUGACUAGGAGGCACUGAGGAGAGAGAGUGAACAGAAUGCAGGCCUGAAAACAUUAGGGAGGAGAUGCAGGAAAUAAGGACAGUUAUCCAGAAUAUUCAGUAGUGGGAUUGAAGUUGCUUCAUGAAGGGCGAUUUGUGCUUCCAAAGACCUUUUCUUACAUUCCCAGCUUAUUACAGGAGUUCCAUAUGGUAACCAUGGGGGCAUUUAGGGGCCCAAAAGACAUAUCGCCGGUUAUUUGUCGAGAUGUAUUUAGAAGGGUUGCAGAAGGAUGUUGAAAAAAUGAUGGCUAGCUAUGAUAUAUGCAAGAGGUACAAGUAUUUAGCUAUGUCUCCAGGAGGGCUCCUCCAGUGGUUAGCUCUGACAGAAAGAGUGUGGGAUUCAUAGAAGGGCUUCCUAAAUCAGAAGGUUACAUGACGAUGUUAGUGGUAGCGGACUGAUUGAGUAAAUAUGCUCAUUUCAUCCCCCAUCACCACCCCUAUACAACAUUAUUAUUAGUACCAACAAUUUUUAUGAGGGAAGUAGUGAGACUUUAUGGAAUGCCAGAAUCAAUUAUAUAAUAUAGGGACAAGAUCUUCCUAAGCCAGUUUCAGAAGGAAUUGUUCAAAAUACAGGAAACUGUCUUGAAAAGAAGCACUGCUUAUCAUUCUCAGACGGACGGAUAGACAAAGGUAGUCAAUCGUAGUGUGGAUACCUAUCUGUGGUGCUUUAUAUCAGAUAUACCCAAGUUGUGGGCCAAAUGGUUGGCUUGGGCAGAAUAUUGGUAUAACACGUCUUAUCAUUCAACAUCGCAGAAAACAUCGUUCAAAGUGUUAUACAAACGAGAUCCGACUUGCUUGAUACUAUGGGCAAGGUGGCACACCAGUGGCUUCAGUAGAACAAUACUUGGAGGACAGAGAUAGGAUCUUGGGGGAGCUGUUGGGACAUUUGUUGAGAGCUCAACUAAUUAUGAAAAAGAAGGCAUAUGCACAUAAGUGAGACAUACAGUUCGAGGUGUGGGACAAGGUUUACUUAAAGCUUCAACCCUACAGACAGAAAACCCUGGCAUGCAGACGAAAUGAUAAGUUAUGCCCCCAAUAUUUUGAUCCCUACGAGAUAAUGGAGCGAAUAGGGGCGUGGCUUAUCGCCUACAGUUACCAUUAUCGUCAACCAUUUAUCUCGUAUUUUAUGUGUCCUAGUUGCGGCGAGUGAUAGGAGAGCAUAUUCCUUCCUGGACACUUCCCUUGACCUUGACAUAGGACAUCAAAGUGUUGUUGGAACCACUGAAUGUCGAAGGAGUGCGACCGAGAGUAACGGGCAGCAAAGAAGUGUUGAUUAGGUGAAGAGCCUACCGGAGCAUGAGCCACAUGGUAGUCCUACCAUACUAUGUAGCAACAAUUCCCUAUAUUCCACCUUGAGGACAAGUUGGGACUUUUGGGGGGAGUAUUAAUACGGUGAAAGCUGCAGGGGUCCGCACCAAGCGGACCUAGGAGCCAUUGAAUCGGCUAAUCCAACAAAUUGCUGCCUAGUUGGGGUUGACGGACAGAGAGGGGGAGUCAGCUAAGUGGCUGGGGCCCAACAGAGAAUUUAAAUAUUAUAUUAUGAGAAAAUCAAUUAGGAAAUCCUUUCCUAAUUGAAUUAUUUUCAAAUUGAGGAUGGAAACAUAUUAGGAAGGAAGCCGAUUUAGGAGGGAGGAAGGAAGCUUUUUUAAGUCCAUAGUAGGGUUUAUUUUAUUCUUUUGCAGAUUUGUUUUGUGCUAUAGUUCUCUUGUGUUAGGGAUCCUAGUGGCGUCUAGGGUUUGGGAGAGAAGAUCCUCCUCUUGAAAGAGGACCAUUGUAUAUUGUUUUUGUUCGUAAUUGAUUUUCUUAUCAAUAAAAAUCUGUUUUUUUAUUGAAUCUCUUGGAGUAUUUUGCUGUUUUGGAUACCAAGACGUAUCAUUGUGAUUUGAUAUUCAAUUGAGUUUGUAAUCUUUAUGAUGAUUAUUUUCUAAAAGAGAUUUGUGUUCGAAAUUUUCAUCUAAAGUUGUAAAUAAUUGUCUAUAUUAGAAAUUUUUGGCUGUGAAUUUGACCUCGUGUGUGUGAAUUUGUUCUUUUCAGUUGAAAUUUGUGGUAGUAAAUCUUAGAUCUCAAGAUACCCGAUAUUACGGCCUUGUUUUAUUUUGCAUUAACAUCUGCAUUAUUCCCGCUUAGAAUAAUUUCUUCAUAAGAAGUACUUCAACUAAUCUUCUAAGCACUCGAAGGGAUCUUGCUAGUAAGCAUCAGCUGGUGGGACCCAUAAUUCCCUUUAUUCUCUUUGUUUUCCUUGUAGCAGAUAUGUUAUCGUAAACGUGAAUGUUAAUACAUACAACUGUUUAUGCUCAUUAAGUUGAAUGAGUUACCUCUGAUCUUAUAACUUCUAAUCAUGUGAGAUCUGUGUUGGUAAGUUGAUCCAUCUUUUUGAUCCAAAUCAAUAUUCCUACCAAUCCUUAGAUUAAUUAGUUAUAAGCUCAUAUUAGUUAUUGUGUAAUGGUUAGCGUGCGUUAAGUGAUGAAUUGGCUUUUUAUUAAAAUUGUUUCAGAUCUGCAAAUUUUCAUAAAACUAAACAGAACCGUGAAAUGAUACUCUAUUAAUGAGUUAGAACCAUUGCUCUGGUAUAGAACCAGAUUGGUUUGAUUUGGUAUAAUUUGGCAAGCAUCUAGUCAAGCUAGUUGAUAGUGCAUGUGAUGGAUUGGCGGUUGAGCCGAUGGGCCCCACUAGGGUGGGCAGGUCGCAAGAGAGACAAGGGGAAUUAUUUAGGAAAAUUUUAAUUACAAUUAGGAGGGAAUUAAUUAUGGAAAGAAAUCUUAUUUGAAUUUCAAAUCUGAGGAGGAAUUAUUCAGGAAAAGCUCAGGAGAGUUAAUAUUCAUUAUGUAAAGAGGAAUUAAUGGAGAAUUGUUUAUGAAAGUUUUAAUUACUAUUGGGGGGAUUUAAUUAGAGAAAGAAAUAUACUUUGAAUCCAAAUAUGAGAUGGAAUUAUUUAGGGAAAGGAGGCUGAUUUUGGGGAGAAUUCAGGGAGCCUAUUUAAGGCUAACUAUGGGGUGAUUUCAGAUUAUACUUGAUUUUGCUUAAAUUAAUUUUGCUUAGGUUGAGUGGGCUCUAGCUGAUGGCUAGGGGUUUGGGAGAGCCGGAUCUUCUUCUCCAAUUGAAUAUCCAACUGUAUUUUACGUUUUUCUUCUUAGUUCUUUCAAUAAGAAAAGAGUUUAUGUGUGUUCUUUUUCCUAAAUUUCUUGUGUCAUUCUCUGGUUUUGCUAAAAUUGCAUCAACUUCCUAUUAGCAUGUCAUUGAAUUUAAAUAACGCAUUUAGUUAACUAAUGCAGUGCUCCAAGUACUGUGAGCUCGUCAUUUUAUGUAUUGCUUGUUUUGUUUUAAAAAGAGUUUUAGUCAGCUUUAUCCUUUCAUUUUGCAAUUUCGUAAUAUUUUAUGUGUCAAUGAUUGAUUAUGAUUAGAUAAACAUGCACUGGUGGGAGUUAGCAUGACGAUUUGACAUUGGCUGAUGAGAGGAGAUUGUACGUUUUAUAAAAUCAUUAAGUUUGGUUUAAUGUAAUAUAAGUUGUGUUGAAAACCACGCUCUCCGUUAGAAAAUAACAAAUUCCUGUUUGUCCGCUUUUAUUGCCUGCCCUUCUCGUUUUCCUACUUUAUUGCCCUCUUCAUCAACCCUGUUCAACAUUCCCUGAUUUUCUUUCUACUUAUGGCUUAAUGUCUUGGUUAGCCUUUGGGAAAUUUGGAUCUUGAGUUUGUUGAAUAUGGGCAUUGUCUGACUUUUUUGCUUGUUCUUGAAAACUUCUUGGUACCUGAGUCUCUUUUCUAAUGAAGGUUGGAUCUUUGUAGUAAAAAGUGUGAAAAUCCAUUCUUCUAUUUUUCUGCUUAGUUGAUUUUUCUUGAUUGCAUGAAUGCUAUGAUUUAUCUUUAUUGCUUGAAUACUAUGAUUUUGUAGAUGAUUCUCUGAUUCUGGGCUCUUACUUUUUUGAAUCCGCUGGUCUCUGCAGUUUUGAAGAGAGGCUAGAAGGCGAAACUUGGUUAGGUUUAAGGUUUUUGAUUUCUGAUUCUACUUUCAUUGAUCUUGUCUGCUAGUUCCUGAACUCUUUUGAUAUCCUUCUAUGAAGCACAUUAGGGGUACCUCUUCAGUUCAUGAUGGCUUCUUCAGUUUCUUCAUCCCUUGGGAAAGUACACUUUCCCUGUGACAAAUCCUAUUUAAAGUUCCCCUCCAUCAGGAGGAAUUAUUCUUAACUAACUUAGCAAAAGUAGAGUUUGGCGACUGAAGCCUGAUCCAGUUCUGGCAAAACUCUUAAGAAUCUUGUUACCUGUUUCUAUUUCACACAGGUCUGCAGCCUCUGUAAUUAUUGUUUUUCCUUGAAAAGCAUAGUUACCUUGCUUUGACACGUACUUGGAGUGGAUAUAAUGCUAAAAAGUGCUGUUAAUAGAGCUUUUUUAAACAACAUUUUGGUUCAGGUGCUUUCAUAUUCUCCUUUUUUUAUUCCAGAUCUUUCCCAUUUACAAAAUCUGUGUGGAUGAUUUGUGCUUCAAUAUGUACUCCUAAGUCAUCAACUUGAUCUAUUCCAAGAAGCCGGUGGUGCUGGUGGAGCGUCUCUUAUGGAAAUUUAAAGGAAAUUGAACAAUUCGUGUCAAUGGGUUCCAUGUUGCGGUAUAAUGUGCAAAACUGGCGCUUUAAUAAUUCCGGGCAGCGCAUUCUUCAUUAUCCUAACUUGUUUUUCAACUUUGAAGUCAUUCUUGUGGGCUUCCUUGCAAAGCUUCAGGGAUACUUAGUUAUGGGGUACUGGUUUCUCUUGCCUGGAGUAAUGAAUAAAUGAGAGUGUGCCAUGGAGAGUAUUCACAAAGCAUCAUCAUCUCGUUCGAGUACCAACAGAAAACAACAGUGCAUUAUUUCCUUUUAAUUGCUGUGCGCAGGUAUUUAGUAUGUUUGGGCUUCUUCUUUCAUCUUGAAGAAGGUUGAUCUUCUUGGAUUUAUCGAGCAAUAUCAACAGUCUCUCGACGUCCCCUCAUCGUGAUGGGAGGUUAGGGAGGGCACUUGUCCUUUUGGAUUGGCUUAGUCGGAUCAAAUCAAUGGCAAGGACUUUGGGGGAGCGAAUUGAUCAAGUCUUCUAUCCACUCGACUAGAUCAAUUCGACGGGCAAUGACUUUGAGGGACCGAAUCAACCCCGGGUUACCUACGGUCUUCUUCUGUUGUGGGAGUAUCGGCCUUCGGCCACUAAUCUCCCCGGUCGACCUAGCGGACAACCCACCCCAUACUCAUCCGGGCCAACACUUAAGGCUUUUCACGAAUUGUCAUGGGAUUCGAACUCGGUACCUGACCUAUGGCCAGCCAGUUCUUCACCACCAAGACAACCCGUGGUGGGUCUGUUAUCUUUCAAUCCUUACAAACUUAGCUGAAGUGUACACGCUUAUAAGUAACAUGCUAUUCACGGCAUUUUUGCCUUUUAAUGAUGCGAGAUGCAUAAUAGAGAAAUUCUAAAGCUGGUACUCUGUCCCUUUCCAUGGCAUACAUGCGAGUGACAGCUUUACAUCCAUGUCUUCAUUCAUGCAAACAAGCAAAAACUCCUUAUAAUGGACUUAGUGACGUUGCAGCCUUAAUGAAGAAUUAUUUAA
Dendrobium catenatum is the source of this 6011-nucleotide long non-coding RNA. RefSeq lists it as uncharacterized. The transcript has 3 exons. Lineage: Eukaryota; Viridiplantae; Streptophyta; Magnoliopsida; Asparagales; Orchidaceae. The record is from RefSeq and is a predicted model, not a curated record.